Molecule: ribosomal RNA, 398 nt
Filed under: uncultured bacterium
Lineage: Bacteria
Description: partial 16S ribosomal RNA
Rfam family: Bacterial small subunit ribosomal RNA
Source: RNAcentral
CCUACGGGAGGCUGCAGUGAGGAAUAUUGGUCAAUGGGCGCGAGCCUGAACCAGCCAAGUCGCGUGAGGGAUGAAGGUUCCAUGGAUCGUAAACUUCUUUUAUAAGGGGAUAAAGUGUGGGACGUGUCCUAUUUUGUAUGUACCUUAUGAAUAAGGAUCGGCUAACUCCGUGCCAGCAGCCGCGGUAAUACGGAGGAUGCGAGCGUUAUCCGGAUUUAUUGGGUUUAAGGGGUGCGUAGGCGGGCUUUUAAGGCAGCGGUGAAAGUCUGUGGCUCAACCAUGGAAUUGCCGUUGAAACUGGGGGGCUUGAGUAUGUUUGAGGCAGGCGGAAUGCGUAGUGUAGCGGUGAAAUGCUUAGAUAGCACGCAGAACCCCGAUUGCGAAGGCAGCCUGCCAAG